Molecule: long non-coding RNA, 550 nt
Organism: Solea solea (common sole)
Lineage: Eukaryota; Metazoa; Chordata; Actinopteri; Pleuronectiformes; Soleidae
Exons: 4
Source: RefSeq, a predicted model, not a curated record
CUCUCAGCAGCGCGUACACGGAAACCUUGGCAACGGCGGAUGGUAGAGGAGAGCGAGAGAGAGAGAGAGAGAGAGGGAGAGAGCACAAAGGGGGGAGACAGGCAGGUUUAGAUGAAUGAUCAUCAUCUCACUGACUUACUGUCAAAAUGUCCGAGUGUCAAGUGCUGUCCGGUGAAGAUUAUCAGAUUAUCCAUGCUGGAAAUCCAUCGUUAACAGUUGUUGACCCUUCCAGGAAGCCUUAAAAUUGUGCAGAGAGGCUAAAUGAAAAGAGUUGUUACCUCAUUGAGAAGUUGAGAAGAUGUGCUGCCUGUCCCCUGCAGUUCUCCAGACACAUAAUGGCUUUGCAUUCGUCAAAAUGUCUCAGUAUGCAGUCCUCCCCUAUUGACUCACACAUCCUGUGUGUGAUGGGAAAGCAGAGCAGUGUGACAAAGGGGUCACGAGCAUCUUCUCAGAGCAUCAAGGGUCAUGUGAGCGACAGUGAGAAAGGCUCCGGUCCAGGAAUAAUACUUCAAGGCAGAUGGCAAAGACUCCUUGAGGACAAAACUUGUAU